Molecule: ribosomal RNA, 432 nt
Filed under: Tossinola sp. DLJQ-2008
Lineage: Eukaryota; Metazoa; Arthropoda; Insecta; Hymenoptera; Ichneumonidae
Description: eukaryotic LSU rRNA
Source: RNAcentral
CCUGAGAAACCCAAAAGAUCGAUCGGGGAGAUUCAUCGUCAGCGUAUCUGGUACGUGGAUGGUUCGCGAUGCCGCUGGAUUUCGGUCAAGCGGCACGCGUCCGUUCAUGUUUCAAUUGCCAGGUAACGUCGGCGUGCACUUCUCCCCUAGUAGAACGUCGCGACCCGUUGGGUGUCGGUCUACGGCCCGGAUGGUAGACUGUCGUGCGUCGCGCCCCGUGCCGACGCGCGGCAGACCACCGGUCGCCCGACCGGCUGCCCGGCGAUACUCGCACGGUAUCGAGCCGCAAUUAUUUCGAACUGCGUCCGUCCCGCCGCAAGCGAGGUCAGUGCUACCCGGACGUACGGACCUAGCGCCGUCGCCGGGCCUGACCGGCUGUUGGCCGGCGGUGUCCUGGGACUGGCUCAUACAAUUAUGAUACCGGUCGGCGAC